CUUUAACUGAGCUGUCUUCCUCGUAGUAGAUACUGAUCUUCUUGUUUGGGUUGUCGGCCCUGACGGUGACAUCGAACUCCGGCGAGAUCGACGCUGUCGCGGCCGCCGAGGAGACAUUGAAGCCGGUGAUGGAGAUGUCCUCGACGGAGUAGCUGAGGGCCUUGGGCCGGAUAACGAGGUAGAAAAUACCAGCGGCGAUGGCGAGUAGGAAGAUGAGGAGCGCGGCGAGGCCGAGGAACCAGCAGAGGCAGCAGCAGCAGCCGCUCCGUCGAGGCUUCCGGCCACUGUACUUCUGGUAGCGGCGGGCGUUUUCGGGAG
RNAcentral lists this long non-coding RNA (318 nucleotides) under Vitis vinifera (wine grape). RNAcentral describes it as "long non-coding RNA (VVIN_LNC001865)". The record is from RNAcentral. Lineage: Eukaryota; Viridiplantae; Streptophyta; Magnoliopsida; Vitales; Vitaceae.